UGAAGAUGUAAGCAAUAAAGCUUUGCCG
Molecule: non-coding RNA, 28 nt
Filed under: Mus musculus (house mouse)
Lineage: Eukaryota; Metazoa; Chordata; Mammalia; Rodentia; Muridae
Source: RNAcentral